RNAcentral lists this ribosomal RNA (440 nucleotides) under uncultured bacterium. RNAcentral's name for it is "partial 16S ribosomal RNA". It matches the Rfam family "Bacterial small subunit ribosomal RNA", at positions 338 to 795 of the family's 1533-position model. The record is from RNAcentral.
CCUACGGGUGGCAGCAGUGGGGGAUAUUGCACAAUGGGGGAAACCCUGAUGCAGCGACGCCGCGUGUGGGAAGACGGUCCUCUGGAUUGUAAACCACUGUCCCCAGGGACGAAGAUGACGGUACCUGGGGAGGAAGCUCCGGCUAACUACGUGCCAGCAGCCGCGGUAAUACGUAGGGAGCGAGCGUUUUCCGGAUUUACUGGGGGUAAAGGGAUCGUAGGCGGGGAUGAAGGUUGGGUGGCAAAACUUCGGGCUAAACGGGUAGUUGGACUCAAAACUGCAGCUCUUGAGUGAAGUAGAGGCAGGCGGAAGUCCUAGUGUAGCGGUGAAAUGCGUAGAUAUUAGGAGGAACACCAGUGGCGAAGGCGGCCUGCUGGGCUUUUACUGACGCUGAGGCUCGAAAGUGUGGGGAGCAAACAGGAUUAGAUACCCCAGUAGUC